GAACUUGGCGGCGUGCUAAUACAUGCAAGUCGAACGCUUCUUUUCCCACCGGAGCUUGCUCCACCGGGAAAAGAGGAGUGGCGAACGGGUGAGUAACACGUGGGUAACCUGCCCAUCAGAAGGGGAUAACACUUGGAAACAGGUGCUAAUACCGUAUAACAAUCGAAACCGCAUGGUUUCGUUUUGAAAGGCGCUUUACGGUGCCGCUGAUGGAUGGACCCGCGGUGCAUUAGCUAGUUGGUGAGGUAACGGCUCACCAAGGCCACGAUGCAUAGCCGACCUGAGAGGGUGAUCGGCCACAUUGGGACUGAGACACGGCCCAAACUCCUACGGGAGGCAGCAGUAGGGAAUCUUCGGCAAUGGACGAAAGUCUGACCGAGCAACGCCGCGUGAGUGAAGAAGGUUUUCGGAUCGUAAAACUCUGUUGUUAGAGAAGAACAAGGGUGAGAGUAACUGUUCACCCCUUGACGGUAUCUAACCAGAAAGCCACGGCUAACUACGUGCCAGCAGCCGCGGUAAUACGUAGGUGGCAAGCGUUGUCCGGAUUUAUUGGGCGUAAAGCGAGCGCAGGCGGUUUCUUAAGUCUGAUGUGAAAGCCCCCGGCUCAACCGGGGAGGGUCAUUGGAAACUGGGAGACUUGAGUGCAGAAGAGGAGAGUGGAAUUCCAUGUGUAGCGGUGAAAUGCGUAGAUAUAUGGAGGAACACCAGUGGCGAAGGCGGCUCUCUGGUCUGUAACUGACGCUGAGGCUCGAAAGCGUGGGGAGCAAACAGGAUUAGAUACCCUGGUAGUCCACGCCGUAAACGAUGAGUGCUAAGUGUUGGAGGGUUUCCGCCCUUCAGUGCUGCAGCUAACGCAUUAAGCACUCCGCCUGGGGAGUACGACCGCAAGGUUGAAACUCAAAGGAAUUGACGGGGGCCCGCACAAGCGGUGGAGCAUGUGGUUUAAUUCGAAGCAACGCGAAGAACCUUACCAGGUCUUGACAUCCUUUGACCACUCUAGAGAUAGAGCUUCCCCUUCGGGGGCAAAGUGACAGGUGGUGCAUGGUUGUCGUCAGCUCGUGUCGUGAGAUGUUGGGUUAAGUCCCGCAACGAGCGCAACCCUUAUUGUUAGUUGCCAUCAUUUAGUUGGGCACUCUAGCAAGACUGCCGGUGACAAACCGGAGGAAGGUGGGGAUGACGUCAAAUCAUCAUGCCCCUUAUGACCUGGGCUACACACGUGCUACAAUGGGAAGUACAACGAGUCGCGAAGUCGCGAGGCUAAGCUAAUCUCUUAAAGCUUCUCUCAGUUCGGAUUGUAGGCUGCAACUCGCCUACAUGAAGCCGGAAUCGCUAGUAAUCGCGGAUCAGCACGCCGCGGUGAAUACGUUCCCGGGCCUUGUACACACCGCCCGUCACACCACGAGAGUUUGUAACACCCGAAGUCGGUGAGGUAACCUUUAUGGAGCCAGCCGCCUAAGGGGGAAAGGGUU
Molecule: ribosomal RNA, 1469 nt
Filed under: Enterococcus mundtii
Lineage: Bacteria; Bacillati; Bacillota; Bacilli; Lactobacillales; Enterococcaceae
Description: bacterial SSU rRNA
Rfam family: Bacterial small subunit ribosomal RNA
Source: RNAcentral